GUCAUUAGGGAAAUGCAAAUGAAAACCACAAUGAGAUACCACAUUGCACCCUGUAGAAUGACUUAAAAAGCAAAACACUGACAACAGCAAGUAUGGUGGGAGUAAGGAAUAACCAGGACAGUAAUAGGUUACUGGUAAGAACGCAAAAUUAUACAGCCACUUCAGAAGACAGCUUUGCCCGGCUGUUUCACCCAAAUGAAAUGAAACUUACAUAUUCAGAACACCCUUAUAGAAGCUCUUACACCCUUAUAGAAGGUCUGUUCAUAACCAAAUUGGAAAUGUCGGGGCCAAGGGAAGGCUUCCCCUUUGCCCUAUGAAGUUUCGCUGAAAAUUACUGACAAGAGGCAAAUUAACAGGAGAAAAGGCAUAUAAAUUUAUUUGAUCACAGUUUUAUGUAACAUGACAGCCUUCAGAAUGAAGACCCAAAGAUGGAGGAGAAAUUGUCUACUAUGUUUAGGUUUAACGAAAUAUGUACAGGCAUGCAGAAACAUGACUGGACAAAAAGGUAUGAUCUACUGCUCAAGAGAAGACAACACAAGGCCUGUCCGUCCAGAUUCUUCUUGGCCUCUCUGAGCAGCAUUCUUUCCUUCUGGGUAUGGGGCAGGACCCUCUCUGGAAUGGGGGUUUUAUGACCUAUAAUCAAACAAGGUAGGUCAGAUGUUUUAUGGCCAGUUUUUACACAGAAAGGCAGAGGCAAAAUUAAGAGUAAUAUAUUUAGGUUUUAUGGUUGGCUUUGCGGAAAAGGGGUUCUGGUGUCUAUGACCCGCCUGGGGCAACAGGGAUUCUAGUUUCUAUGGCAACCCUCAAGGGAGAACAGGACUGAAAGGUGGGCAGGAGAAGGUCAAAGAAAAAGUUCUUCUAAGGCUGUUUCUGAGGCCUUCAUUUUAUGGUAUUGUUUUCUGAGUCCCAAGAGAAACAAUCCAAAUGUCCCUUAAUUAGGGACUAAAUGAAAACCAAAACCUAACUCUGGUGCACCUACACAGCAAGGCUGAACCUCAAAUUUAUUCAGUGGAAGCAGCCAGACUCAAAAGACUUUGCCUAUCAUGUAAUUCCCUUCUCUUCAUAGGACAUAGACUGGGAGGUGGCCAGGGGCUUGUGGUGACCUUGACUACAAAAGAGAAUGGGGAAUUUCUCAGGACAAUAAAAGUUGUACAUAUCUUGAUUUUGGUAGUGAUAACAUGGCUGUAUCUGCUCAUCAGAAUUUACAGAACUAUACACUAAAAAGAGUGAAUUUUACCGUAUGUAAAUUAUACCUUUUAUUUUUUUUUUAAGGAAAAAAUCUUCCUGUGACUUCCUACAACUUUUGGGAUAAGGACCAAAGUAUUUCAAAUGACCUACAAGAUCCUCUAUCAUCUGGACUAUGGACUUACUUGCUCACUCCAGCUGUCCUAUGCUUUCUUCAGCGCCUCCAGUGUAGCCUGCUCUCUUUCACCUCAGGGCUAACUUCUAUUUUUUCUCCAGGUCGAAUGAUCUAAAUAUCACUUCCUCAGGGUGGAAGGAAAUCUUCUGGGACUAGCUAGUCAAGCUAUGAUAAGAGAAACAAGAACUGGAUUUAACCUUUGGUUGCAAACAACUAAAAACUGGACGGCUGGAGAUAUCAUGCUACCAGACUUCAAACUAUAAGGCCACAGUAACCAAAACAGCAUGGUACUGAUACAAAAACAGACACAUAGACCAAUGGAACAGAAUAGAGAACUCAGCAAUAAGACCGCACACCUACAACCAUCUGAUCUCCGACAAACCUGACACGAACAAGCAAUGGGGAAAAGAUUCCCUGUUUAAUAAAUGGUGUUGGGAGAAUUGGCUAGCCAUAUACAGAAAAUUGAAACUGGGCUCCUUCCUUACACCAUAUACAAAAGUUAAGUCAAGAUGGAUUAAAGACUUAAAUGUAAACCCCAAAACUAUAAAAAUCCUAGAAGAAAAUCUAGGCAAUACCAUUCAAGACAUCGGCAUGGGCAAAGAUUUCACGACAAAAACACCAAAAGCAACUGCAACAAAAGCAAAAAUUGACAAAUGGUAUCUAAUUCAACUAAAGAGCUUCUACGCAGCAAAAGAAACUAUUAUCAGAGUGAACAGACAACCUACAGAAUGGGAGAAAAUUCUUGCAAUCUAUCCAUCUGACAAAGGUCUAAUAUCCAGAGUCUACAGGAAACUUUAUAGGAAAAAAACAACCCCAUUAAAAGUGGGCAAAGGACAUGAACAGAUACUUCUCAAAAGAAGACAUUCAUGUAGCCAACAAACAUGAAAAAAAGCUCAACAUCACCGAUGAUUGGAGAAAUGCAAAUCUAAACCACAAUGAGAUACCAUCCCAUGCCAAUCAGAAUGGGAAUUAUUUAAAAGUCCAGAAACAAAAGAUGCUGGUAAGGUUUCAGAGAAAAAGGAACACUUUUACACUAUUGGUGGGAGUGUAAGGAAGACAGUGUGCCAAUUCCUCACAGAUCUAGAAGCAGAAAUGCCAUUUGACCCAGCAAUCCCAUUACUGGGUAUAUACCUACAGAAAUAUAAAUCAUUCUAUUAUAAAGCUACAUGCAUAUGUAUGUUCACUGCAGCACUAUUCACAAUAGCAAAGACAUGGAAUCAACCCAAAUGCCCAUCAAUUAUAGACUGGAUAAAGAAAAUGUUAUACAUAUACACCAUGGAAUACUAUGCAGCCAUAAAAAGGAACGAGGUCAUGUCCUUUGCAGGGACAUGGAUGGAGCUAGAAGCCAUUAUCCUCAGCAAACUAACGCAGGAACAGAAACCCAAGCACCACAUGUUCUCGCAAGUGGGAGCUGAACAAUGAGAAUAUAUGGACACAUACUGGGGAAAAACACA
Homo sapiens (human) is the source of this 2814-nucleotide long non-coding RNA. Ensembl annotates it as PAXBP1 antisense RNA 1. Its record names the gene PAXBP1-AS1. The record is from Ensembl. Lineage: Eukaryota; Metazoa; Chordata; Mammalia; Primates; Hominidae.